RNAcentral lists this long non-coding RNA (394 nucleotides) under Malus domestica (apple). Its description in RNAcentral is "long non-coding RNA (MDOM_LNC018957)". Lineage: Eukaryota; Viridiplantae; Streptophyta; Magnoliopsida; Rosales; Rosaceae. The record is from RNAcentral.
AGAAAACUGUACAGUAUACAUUGCCCGUAAUGGUUUUGAAUAAUUCCUAUGUAUUGGAUAGAGGCAUGAUGGGAUAUGAAGUCAGAAGUUGUUUGUGAUGCAUGGCAAGGAUUUAAUAACGACCUUGAGUGCAUUUUUUGGGUUUGGCCGAGUAGUUUGGGGAUUUUACAUAAUUUUCAAUCAAUUCCAGAUACUUUUGGCGAAUCAUCUAUAGGGUGAGAGAAGUAUGCCCAAAAAUGAAAAAUUGGUUCGUGGAUUCUCGAUCAACUAAUCCGUUUUCGUAAGUUUAAGUUUUUUGCUAGUAUUAAUUAAUUUUAUAAAAUGCACUAAAAUAACGGCAUCUAUUUUUAGGGUAGAGCUCAAAAUAGUUAGGUUAUCUCCAACCGAAUGGUCU